RNAcentral lists this ribosomal RNA (274 nucleotides) under uncultured bacterium. RNAcentral's name for it is "partial 16S ribosomal RNA". It matches the Rfam family "Bacterial small subunit ribosomal RNA", at positions 523 to 796 of the family's 1533-position model. The record is from RNAcentral.
AUACGGAGGGUGCAAGCGUUGUUCGGAAUCACUGGGCGUAAAGGGCGCGCAGGCGGAUUGGUAAGGCAGAUGUGAAAGCCCACGGCUCAACCGUGGAAGUGCAUUUGAAACUGUCAGACUUGAGUACUAGAGGGGAAAGUGGGAUUCCCGGUGUAGAGGUGAAAUUCGUAGAUAUCGGGAGGAAUACCGGUGGCGAAGGCGACUUUCUGGCUAGAUACUGACGCUGAGGCGCGAAAGCGUGGGGAGCAAACAGGAUUAGAAACCCUAGUAGUCC